RNAcentral lists this long non-coding RNA (1377 nucleotides) under Mus musculus (house mouse). RNAcentral describes it as "long non-coding RNA chr11:74939674-74941051". The record is from RNAcentral. Lineage: Eukaryota; Metazoa; Chordata; Mammalia; Rodentia; Muridae.
UUUUUGUAAAUUUUAGAGAUCAAACACAGGUUAUCAGGCUAUGUGGUGAGUACUUUUACCUACUGAGCCAUUUUAUCAGCCCCUUUUUUGGUGUGGGUUCUUGUUUUGUUUUGUUUUUUGAGACAGGUUCUCACUUUGAGCCCAGACUGGCCUGAAAAUCACUAUGUGGUCUAGGCUGACCUUGAUUUGAGGCAGUAUUCCUGCUUCUGUGGUGCUUACAAUUGUGGAUUUGAACCUCUGUGCCAAACCUUUUGUCUGUUGGCUCCUCUUUUCAACUAGUCCACCUUCUGUUUUCAUAAAUUAUUUUUGUUUUGUUUUUGUGAUGCAUUGAGUUUCUUUAGGGUUGUUUACAAGAACAUGGCUAUCUUUUUUUUUUUUUUUUUUUUUUUUUUUGGUUUUUUGAGACAGGGUUUCUCUGUGUAGCCCUGGCUGUCCUGGAACUCACUCUGUAGACCAGGCUGUCCUGGAACUCAGAAAUCCACCUGCCUCUGUCUCCCAAGUGCUGGGAUUAAAGGCGUGCGCCACCACUACCCAGCUGAACAUGGCUAUCUUACAAAUGUCUAAUCUGAAAAAAGUCCCCAUCUACUAACUGCAUGUAAAUCCUUGGGAAAUUGCCUUAUAAAUGGUAGGACAACAUUCUUCCAUUAAACUGUGUAUACCUAAUCUUUUAAAUACUUUAAAUUCUUUUUUAUGUGCUCAUUGGCCAUUUACAUUUUAUUAGAGAAAUGUCUGUUGAAAUAAUUUGUCAUCUGAAAAUUGAGUUAAUCAGGCUGGAGAAAUGGCUCUGUGGUUAAGAGUAGUGGCUGCUUUUCUACAAGACCCAGGUUCAAUUCCCAAACCCAUAUAACAGCUCAGAGCCAUCUGUAAUUGCAGUUCCAGAGAAUCUGAAGUCCUCUUAUGUCAUCCAUGGAUACUAGGCACAUGAUACACAGGUACAUAUGCAGGCAAAACACCCAUACAAAUAAAAUAAAACUUGGUGAUAUUUAAGGUCUUAGACAUAAUGAGAAGCACCCGAAGGGAAGAAGGAUUUAUUUUGACUCGUAGUCGAGGGUAUAGCCCAGAGAAGGUAUGGCAUGCAUUGCUUACCUCCUACCCCCAGUCAGGGGCACAGGAGGAUGAAUGUUGGUACUUGGCUGGUUUGAUCCUUUUUACGUUUGGUUUGGGGACACUUUUACCCCCUUCCACGGAAUGUUGCCACCUACAUACAGGCUGGUUCUUACCGCGGUUAAACGUGGCAGGACACAUCCUCACAGAUGUAACCAGACGUUAUUCUAAAUCUCAUCAAGUUGACAGCAAGAUUAACCAUUAACAUGUCCUUUCAGGGCCUUGCACGGGUAUUCUUUUACAGAGCUACAUUUCCGUUGUUAAAGACACUAU